This 551-nucleotide long non-coding RNA is filed under the name Populus tremula. Its description in RNAcentral is "long non-coding RNA (PTRE_LNC001587)". Lineage: Eukaryota; Viridiplantae; Streptophyta; Magnoliopsida; Malpighiales; Salicaceae. The record is from RNAcentral.
UUCAAUGGCAUAUCGAAGGUCUUUGAGGUCUGUAUCAUUCACUAUCUUUGAUUUCAUCUCUCUUUCUCGUGGCUCUUACGAAAUUUCUCUUGCUGGCACACAUUUGAAUCACUUUCUUCUAAAGAACUUCGUGUGGGAGUUUCACUCUAGCUAGACACUACUUUGCUGGCUUUGCUAUUUAUUUUGAUUCCUGUAGUGUGUAUCAGAGAAAAUUCCCUGCAAAAAAUGGCCGCGUGUCAAAGUGAGCAAGAUUAUCUGGUGGAACAUCAGCUUCUGGAUCCGAGGAAAGUGGUGAAAGUGACGAUGAAGAAAAUUUGGGAAUUGAUGGAAUGAGUUCAUUGGAUCAUGUGAAACUGAGCCAGAACUUUAUGUAAUCCAGCAUUUUUUUUAUCUGAAUGGGGAUAUUUUGAAGGACCGAAAAGCUCGAAUAGCUCUUCAAGAUGGCUACAUGAACCUGAUGAGACUGCCAGAAUAGGUGCUUAUGUCACCCAGUUUCAGAUUUUGAAGCUUUGUUGAGCUUAGCUGUACUUGAAGAAAUUCCAGGAAACCCC